AGGGGGAGGCAGGCCAGGCAGUGAGAUACAGGAAACCCAGGCAUGCCAACAUCAGACCCCUGCAGGGGGAGGCAGGCCAGGCAGUGAGAUACAGGAAACCCAGGCAUGCCAACAUCAGACCCCUGCAGGGGGAGGCAGGCCAGGCAGUGAGAUACAGGAAACCCAGGCAUGCCAACAUCAGACCCCUGCAGGGGGAGGCAGGCCAGGCAGUGAGAUACAGGAAACCCAGGCAUGCCAACAUCAGACCCCUGCAGGGGGAGGCAGGCCAGGCAGUGAGAUACAGGAAACCCAGGCAUGCCAACAUCAGACCCCUGCAGGGGGAGGCAGGCCAGGCAGUGAGAUACAGGAAACCCAAGCAUGCCAACAUCAGAACCCUGCAGGGGGAGGCAGGCCAGGC
Molecule: non-coding RNA, 397 nt
Organism: Salmo salar (Atlantic salmon)
Lineage: Eukaryota; Metazoa; Chordata; Actinopteri; Salmoniformes; Salmonidae
Source: RefSeq, a predicted model, not a curated record